This 468-nucleotide ribosomal RNA is filed under the name uncultured bacterium. RNAcentral describes it as "partial 16S ribosomal RNA". It matches the Rfam family "Bacterial small subunit ribosomal RNA", at positions 28 to 507 of the family's 1533-position model. The record is from RNAcentral.
GACGAACGCUGGCGGCGUGCUUAACACAUGCAGGUCGAACGGAAGGGCCCUGCUUUUGUGGGGUGCUCGAGUGGCGAACGGGUGAGUAACACGUGAGUAACCUGCCCUUGACUUUGGGAUAACUUCAGGAAACUGGGGCUAAUACCGGAUAGGAGCUCCUGCUGCAUGGUGGGGGUUGGAAAGUUUCGGCGGUUGGGGAUGGACUCGCGGCUUAUCAGCUUGUUGGUGGGGUAGUGGCUUACCAAGGCUUUGACGGGUAGCCGGCCUGAGAGGGUGACCGGCCACAUUGGGACUGAGAUACGGACCAGACUCCUACGGGAGGCAGCAGUGGGGAAUAUUGCACAAUGGGCGGAAGCCUGAUGCAGCAACGCCGCGUGCGGGAUGACGGCCUUCGGGUUGUAAACCGCUUUCGCCUGUGACGAAGCGUGAGUGACGGUAAUGGGUAAAGAAGCACCGGCUAACUACGUG